GGGAAUUUAAGUUAAUAUCCUAAACUUAAGACCUUCAAAGUUCUAAAUGAAAGCG
Molecule: transfer RNA, 55 nt
Filed under: Austrofundulus leohoignei
Lineage: Eukaryota; Metazoa; Chordata; Actinopteri; Cyprinodontiformes; Rivulidae
Description: tRNA-Trp
Source: RNAcentral